GGUGGCAAAGCACAAUUGGCCGUGCGCCGGAUUGUCUAUCCGGAAGUUGCGGGUUCGAUCCCCGUUGUCACCG
RNAcentral lists this transfer RNA (73 nucleotides) under Saprospiraceae bacterium. RNAcentral describes it as "tRNA-Asp". It matches the Rfam family "tRNA". From Rfam's summary of the family: Transfer RNA (tRNA) molecules are approximately 80 nucleotides in length. Their secondary structure includes four short double-helical elements and three loops (D, anti-codon, and T loops). Further hydrogen bonds mediate the characteristic L-shaped molecular structure. tRNAs have two regions of fundamental functional importance: the anti-codon, which is responsible for specific mRNA codon recognition, and the 3' end, to which the tRNAs corresponding amino acid is attached (by aminoacyl-tRNA synthetases). tRNAs cope with the degeneracy of the genetic code in two manners: having more than one tRNA (with a specific anti-codon) for a particular amino acid; and 'wobble' base-pairing, i.e. permitting non-standard base-pairing at the 3rd anti-codon position. Lineage: Bacteria; Pseudomonadati; Bacteroidota; Saprospiria; Saprospirales; Saprospiraceae. The record is from RNAcentral. RNAcentral also lists the same sequence under 1 other name.